AUUGAACGCUGGCGGCAGGCCUAACACAUGCAAGUCGAACGGUAACAGGCAGAAGCUUGCUUCUUUGCUGACGAGUGGCGGACGGGUGAGUAAUGUCUGGGAAACUGCCUGCUGGAGGGGGAUAACUACUGGAAACGGUAGCUAAUACCGCAUAACGUCGCAAGACCAAAGAGGGGGACCUUCGGGCCUCUUGCCAUCGGAUGUGCCCAGGUGGGAUUAGCUAGUAGGUGGGGUAACGGCUCACCUAGGGGACGAUCUCUAGCUGGUCUGAGAGGAUGACCAGCCGCACUGGAACUGAGACACGGUCCAGACGCCUACGGGAGGCAGCAGUGGGGAAUAUUGCACAAUGGGCGCAAGCCUGAUGCAGCCAUGCCGCGUGUAUGAAGGAGGCCUUCGGGUUGUAAAGUACGUUCAGCGGGGAGGAAGGGAGUAAAGUUAAUACCUUGGCUCAUUGACGUUACCCGCAGAAGAAGCACCGGCUAACUCCGUG
RNAcentral lists this ribosomal RNA (490 nucleotides) under uncultured bacterium. RNAcentral's name for it is "partial 16S ribosomal RNA". It matches the Rfam family "Bacterial small subunit ribosomal RNA", at positions 30 to 507 of the family's 1533-position model. The record is from RNAcentral.